CGUCUGGGCUGCCAACAUGGUAGGUGUUUCGUUUCUUGCCUCCUCUUCCUUGCCGGCGGAGACCCCUAAGCUGUAUUCCCAUUGCCCCUAGUCAUCCACUCCCUACCAUGGUCGGGGCUUCCAGGCUGCGCAUGGCCGCCUGCGGGGCAGGGUGGCCGGCGCGGGCCCGGGGCGGGGCUCCCGGAGCCGUGUGUUAGGCCCGCGGUUCGGAUCUCUAGGACACGCGGGCCCCUGCGCUACCGUGGUGAGACCUCACGGCCCUGAGCGGAUCGGUACCCUCAGCUUUCCCAAACGCUCCAGAAGUUAGGUCUUUGACCCACAGGCUUACAGGACCAUCUCGGCUGGCGGGCAUCGCCCCCUGCCCCUAAUUCCUUAGGCCUUACCACCAAGCUUUUUCCACACAGCCAUCCAGACUGAGGAAGACCCGGAAACUUAGGGGCCACGUGAGCCACGGCCACGGCCGCAUAGGUAACACCGGAAGCACCCCGGCGGCCGCGGUAAUGCUGGUGGUCUGCAUCACCACCGGAUCAACUUCGACAAAUACCACCCAGGCUACUUUGGGAAAGUUGGUAUGAAGCAUUACCACUUAAAGAGGAACCAGAGCUUCUGCCCAACUGUCAACCUUGACAAAUUGUGGACUUUGGUCAGUGAACAGACACGGGUGAAUGCUGCUAAAAACAAGACUGGGGCUGCUCCCAUCAUUGAUGUGGGCUACUACAAAGUUCUGGGAAAGGGAAAGCUCCCAAAGCAGCCUGUCAUCGUGAAGGCCAAAUUCUUCAGCAGAAGAGCUGAGGAGAAGAUUAAGAGUGUUGGGGGGGCCUGUGUCCUGGUGGCUUGAAGCCACAUGGAGGGAGUUUCAUUAAAUGCUAACUACUUU
RNAcentral lists this long non-coding RNA (877 nucleotides) under Homo sapiens (human). RNAcentral describes it as "long non-coding RNA NONHSAT158809.1". Lineage: Eukaryota; Metazoa; Chordata; Mammalia; Primates; Hominidae. The record is from RNAcentral.